Molecule: long non-coding RNA, 1120 nt
Organism: Drosophila nasuta
Lineage: Eukaryota; Metazoa; Arthropoda; Insecta; Diptera; Drosophilidae
Exons: 3
Source: RefSeq, a predicted model, not a curated record
CGUUGCAAAGCGAGUUGCUUCUUAUGAUGUAAAACGAAAAUAAAAUUGAUGAAUAAAAAGUAAAAUGUACACAUAACGUUUUUGAAAGCCGUCAGAGCCGCAUAAUUUAUUGACUAUUAAAUUAUUUUCUCAUAUCUUUGUUUAAUUUAAAUUGCUUAAUUUUUUUUGCUCGUCUUGGUUCUAUUAAAAAAACUCCACUGCAGUGAAUUCAUUUCACUUUAAUUGAAGCGUCAAAAUUGGUUAGUGUGCGUGAAGUAGAGGUGGAAUCGAUGUAACAUCGAUGUUAUCGAUGUUGCUAAAAAUAUUUUUAACAUCGAUUGUUUUCUGCAAACAUCGAUUAUCGUCACCUGCAGCCGAGAAACAGAAAGCGUGUGAUUUUAUAGUGAACAAUAUAGGUGGUGUUGGUGGCAAAGUGCUUGCGUAAUGGACAAGUUCAGCAAAGCUGACCAAGUCAUUAGUGAGCGCAGGAGCUCUCUCAAACCAAAAAUAGUUAAUAUGUUGUUAUUUUUGAACAAAAACAGCUUCCUUUAUGAUCUCAAUCAAAUAAGUUAAAAUUAAGCGGCGAUAAUCGAUUGCAAUCGAUGUUUUCAUCCCAAAACAUCGACAACAUCUAUUGUGGCCAACAUCGAUGUUUUUCCAGCUCUAGCCUGAAGGACAUUUACAAUAGAGGUGGAGAAUUAUUGAUGGCACUAUCGGGACUAUCGAUGGUUGGCCACUAUCGACAUGCUCUCGAUAGCGGACAAUCGCUUUCGUCGAUAGUGAUCGAUAUUUUUUCAAAUUUCUUUGUAGAGUCGGGUCUUCAGCAAAGCAGGACAAAUCAUUUCAAAUAGGCGUACAAAAUUAUUGGUUAAAAUAAAUAUAUAAAUAGCAGUUAAGAUAAAGAUUGGAGAACCAAUUUCAUACUCUCAUACUUUAAAAAAAUAUGGAUUGUUUUAAAAACUAAUUAAAUUAUUUUCUUUUACUGCACUAUCAAUAGUUACUGACGAUAGAUUUUCCUUGCUAUCGUCGAUAGUUGAUAGUUUAUGGAAACUAUCAAUCACUAUGUAUGGCGCAGACUAUCGAUAGUUCUCCACAUCUAAUUUACAACUCCCAAUUCUGUAAUGCACUGUUUCCACAGCAA